UCCUUUGUGCGCUCCGCUCCAGCGCGUGGCUGCGGGCGGGGGCGCGACUUUGGCGCAGGCGACGCGGGCGCUCCGGGAAGCCUCUGAGCGCUUUCAUGUGGGCUGGGGGCUCCCGGCACGCGAGGCUGGCCCACGCGCACAGCCUCCCGGGGGCCGGCGGCAGCUGGAGCGGUGGCGACAACGUGCUCACAGGCUGGCUUCUUCAGGGCUCAAAGCGCCUGCCCUUGGGGAGGCAUGUGGUCCCCAGCAGGCGUUGCUCUGCGGCUGGUCUCCUCUGAGGGCGAUUCAUUGAGAAAAGUGAAAAUUAGCUACGGCAGGGAAGGGCCCGCGUGGCUUGCGACGCAACCUCGCAGAGGAUCUCUGGUCCCAGCUCCAAAGUCCCAACAGCAGCUGCCAAUCGUCUCUAUGCCGGGAACAUCUCUCCAGGCCUAAGGCAGGGGAGGGCCUCCCUGUACUCAGCAACUUGCCAUGUGAUGCGUGGGUACGAGCCAAAGCAGAGGAUCAGCACUCAUGAUCAUUGGCUUGUCUGGGAGCCCGGCUUCCUGGGAGAUAGUAUUCCCAAGCAAGUGUUAACGAUGGGCUCCAAAGUUCCCCUGUUUCCUAUGUCUGCUUUUCAUCUCUGCCCAUGCGCAGUUGCCUUUGCCACAGGGACACUCUGAGCAACUUGCCCUCCCACAGUACAUCUCCAGGGUGUUUCACAAGCUGUUCCCAGCAGGGAAAGCCCAUCCCAUCCUCCUUAAGGUCACGGGGUUGUCCUGUGUUCCCUUCAGCUGGGAGUUGCUCCCUAGAGUCUAGCAGAAUGCUACUUUUGUGCACUCCUCCGAGAAAGACUAUUUACAGUCUAGUGGCAGGCUUACCCACCCAGGGCUGUGCUAUGACUGCUCCUUUAUACAAGGGUAAGGGGUAGGCUGAAAUAGCAAGUGAGCCACUGAGUGACUGGCUGAAUGGAAGACUUGGGGAAGGAAAUCUCACUGAUAACCUACUCUCCCUGGGUGAUAUCAGAAAAACCCUGAUUAGAAGCCCAAGGAACCAGCUGUAACUCUCUUUCACUGUGCAAUGUCUGGGCCUUCAGGCUUGGGAGGUGACUGCUCUCAGUGAGGAAGGACCCACCAAGACAAAGGAGACACAGUUGCUAUCAAGAUACAGAGCCAAAGCCAGCACGUGGAACUAUUUAGAUUCUGGAAGACCAUGGAAACAAACCAAGCGUGGACAUAACGAUGUCUGUCUUUCUCUUGGGCCAGAUCACCAGACUGUCCCUGAGAACACAUAGUGGGUACAGAGAAUAACACUCCUCCCAACUCCUGUGUUCAGCUGCCAUCACUGUUUAAGAAAUAUCCAGGCUUGUCAAGAAGACCGAUGAAGAGCUUUCCCUGUGUGGCCUUUGUACAGAAACAUCAUGGGAGCUGCCCAGAUGAAGGUGCAGUACACUCUGGAUGAGACGAGAGAAGUCCAGGAGGAAGCUUGGAAAUGACCCAGAGGGAUGCAUAGGAAUGCUCUGGAUACAGAGGGACGCUUAGUGACCCUUCCAGAAGUGUCAUCUGAAACAGCAGCUUAUGAAGGCUGGGAACAGGAGAGGGACAUUCCCCAUGUCACAACCAUAUCUGCCCUCUGAAGCAGGAAUUGCAAUCCCUUUUAAGAACUGAGAUUGAACCCAGGUCCCCACGGUGUAUUUUAAGAUAUGAAAUAAAAGGAUUGGCUGUCACAGUUGUGGUUGAGAAAGAGAAGAUGCGUGCUAUGGUUUGACUGAGUCCAUAAAAUUCAUAUGCCAGUGCUACUUGAAGGUGGAGGGGGGUUCUACUGGCUUGUUUCACAUGACUUGUUUCACCAUCAUGGCUUGUACUCUGUGAAGAAAGAUACCAGCGUGGGAUUCUGCUGAGAGCUUCUGAGUCUGUUUCUAAAAACCAUUAGUUCUGGGGCUGAGGACAUAGUUGCCUGGACUAGGGCUAUGCCACUGUGAGAUGGACCUUGCCCCUAACUCCACUGAGGCUCUGGUUGCUACGAACUCCUGUCCAGACAGUGGGCAAGAAGGACUGACUCUAGCACACCUUGAGCGAUGAUGCUGGCUCCCCAGGAUCCCCACCAUUUCAGAGCCACCUCCUUCUGCCAUCUCAGACAUCUCAAGGUGUAAAGUUUUCUUCAGGAGUAAAUAGCUGGGUCUCAGAGGCUGUCUGAGGCCAGGAACUUCCCUCUGGAAGGGGCUGGCUGCUUUCACCUCCACACAGAAGCAAUCUGAACCAGUGUGGAACCACUAUGAGAGGUUACUGCCUGACUGAACCCAGAGCCCAGAUUAAAGGGUGGCUUUUUAGAAAAGGAGCAGGGUCAGGCCUUAGCAGCAUGUUCAAAAGUGUCCUCAAGCUGAGAAAGCCAGGAACAUUUUGAGCAGCUUUCAAUUAAUGGUGUUCUUCUUUUACCUUCAAGAAGCAAAAUUAAGGGGCUGGAGAGAUGGCUCAGCAGUUAAAAGCACUGACUGCUCCUCCAGAGGACCCAGGUUCAAUUCCCAGCACCCACAUGGCAGCUUACAAUGUCUGUAACUCCAGGAUCCAGUACCUUCACACAGACACACAUGCAGGCAAGCCACCAAUGAAAUAAAAAUAAGUAAAAAAGAGGAAGAAACAAAAUUAAGUUGUGACCUCUGAGAAAAUAAAGUCACCUGUUACAGACCCACCUGUGGAAGGAUCUUUUUCUAAAUGAUUUUGUUUAUCUCUCUGGAUUUGAGAAUAUAGAAACCAAGGUCAAGAGAGAAGUGGCAUUUCUGGCAACAGACAAGCUUAGGACAG
This is a non-coding RNA of Cricetulus griseus (Chinese hamster), 2777 nucleotides long. The record is from RefSeq and is a predicted model, not a curated record. NCBI's taxonomy places the organism in Eukaryota, Metazoa, Chordata, Mammalia, Rodentia, Cricetidae.